GAUGAACGCUGGCGGCGUGCCUAAUACAUGCAAGUCGAGCGAACAGACGAGGAGCUUGCUCCUCUGACGUUAGCGGCGGACGGGUGAGUAACACGUGGAUAACCUACCUAUAAGACUGGGAUAACUUCGGGAAACCGGAGCUAAUACCGGAUAAUAUAUUGAACCGCAUGGUUCAAUAGUGAAAGACGGUUUUGCUGUCACUUAUAGAUGGAUCCGCGCCGCAUUAGCUAGUUGGUAAGGUAACGGCUUACCAAGGCAACGAUGCGUAGCCGACCUGAGAGGGUGAUCGGCCACACUGGAACUGAGACACGGUCCCGACUCCUACGGGAGGCAGCAGUAGGGAAUCUUCCGCAAAGGGCGAAAGCCUGACGGAGCAACGCCGCGUGAGUGAUGAAGGUCUUCGGAUCGUAAAACUCUGUUAUUAGGGAAGAACAAAUGUGUAAGUAACUAUGCACGUCUUGACGGUACCUAAUCAGAAAGCCACGGCUAACUACGUG
This 497-nucleotide ribosomal RNA is filed under the name uncultured bacterium. RNAcentral's name for it is "partial 16S ribosomal RNA". It matches the Rfam family "Bacterial small subunit ribosomal RNA", at positions 28 to 507 of the family's 1533-position model. The record is from RNAcentral.